GUUGAAUUCAAACUAAACCAUCACCUUUCGUAUUUUUAAACAGGCGAAAUGGAACGGAUCAAUGUUGCUGCUAUUUAAAAUGGCUACCUGUAUCUUUAAUGCUUGCUCAGGUCUGUUAGUGGUGUUUCAGCAGGUGUCUUAUUCCCUAGUUCCUCCUCUCCAGCUCCCCGGCCUUCCUGUCCUCUACAACAGCCUGGACGCCGAAGCGCAGAGCUCCCGUGUGGCGUGAAACUGGACAGAUGAGCGGUCAGUUCGAAGCCGGACUCACCUCGCGGUCCCAGGUGCCCACCGUCUCUCCGGCCGGCUGUCCUGACUGGAGCGUUUCCUCUCCCGGGGCUCCAGACUGCGGACCGCCGGAGCGUCUGGAUAACAGCCGGCCGAGUUACGACUGGACUGUUUUGUUCAGUUUUUACAAUAAACUAGUAUUUG
This 429-nucleotide long non-coding RNA is filed under the name Lepisosteus oculatus (spotted gar). RNAcentral's name for it is "lncRNA (ENSLOCG00000023231.1)". Lineage: Eukaryota; Metazoa; Chordata; Actinopteri; Semionotiformes; Lepisosteidae. The record is from RNAcentral.